Molecule: ribosomal RNA, 492 nt
Filed under: uncultured bacterium
Lineage: Bacteria
Description: partial 16S ribosomal RNA
Rfam family: Bacterial small subunit ribosomal RNA
Source: RNAcentral
AGUGAACGCUGGCGGUAGGCCUAACACAUGCAAGUCGAACGGCAGCACAGUAAGAGCUUGCUCUUACGGGUGGCGAGUGGCGGACGGGUGAGGAAUACAUCGGAAUCUACUUUUUCGUGGGGGAUAACGUAGGGAAACUUACGCUAAUACCGCAUACGACCUACGGGUGAAAGCAGUGGAUCUUCGGACCUUGCGCGAUUGAAUGAGCCGAUGUCGGAUUAGCUAGUUGGCGGGGUAAAGGCCCACCAAGGCGACGAUCCGUAGCUGGUCUGAGAGGAUGAUCGGCCACACUGGAACUGAGACACGGUCAAGACUCCUACGGGAGGCAGCAGUGGGGAAUAUUGGACAAUGGGCGCAAGCCUGAUCCAGCCAUACCGCGUGGGUGAAGAAGGCCUUCGGGUUGUAAAGCCCUUUUGUUGGGAAAGAAAAGCAGCAGGUUAAUACCCCGCUGUUCUGACGGUACCCAAUGAAUAAGCACCGGCUAACUUCGUG